GCCAGGCGCGAUGGCGCGUACCUGUAGUCCCAGCUACUCGGGAGGCUGAGGUGGGAGGAUCGCUUGAGCCCAGGAGUUCUGGGCUGUAGUGCGUUAUGCUGAUCGGGUGUCCGCACUGAGUUCGGCAUCAAUAUGGUGACCUCCCGGGAGCGGGGGACCACCAGGUUGCCUAAGGAGGGGUUAACUGGCCCAGGUCAGAAACGGAGCAGGUCAAAACUCCCGUGCUGAUCAGUAGUGGGAUCGCACCUGUGAACAGCCACUGCACUCCAGCCUGGGCAACGUAGCAAGACUCCAUCUCU
This 299-nucleotide signal recognition particle RNA is filed under the name Aotus nancymaae (Ma's night monkey). Its description in RNAcentral is "Metazoan signal recognition particle RNA (ENSANAG00000006607.1)". It matches the Rfam family "Metazoan signal recognition particle RNA". Rfam says of the family: The signal recognition particle (SRP) is a universally conserved ribonucleoprotein. It is involved in the co-translational targeting of proteins to membranes. Lineage: Eukaryota; Metazoa; Chordata; Mammalia; Primates; Aotidae. The record is from RNAcentral.